GACGAACGCUGGCGGCGCGCUUAACACAUGCAAGUCGAACGGAAAGGCCUGCUUUCCCUUGUGGAUUGCGGGUACUCGAGUGGCGAACGGGUGAGUAACACGUGAGUGAUCUGCCCCCAACUUGGGUAUAAGCCUGGGAAACUGGGUCUAAUUCCCGAUAGGACUGCAGGGUGGUGCCUGUGGUGGAAAACGAUUUUCUAGUGGUUGGGGAUGAGCUCGCGGCCUAUCAGCUUGUUGGUGGGGUAAUGGCCUACCAAGGCGGCGACGGGUAGCCGGCCUGAGAGGGUGGACGGCCACAUUGGGACUGAGAUACGGCCCAGACGCCUACGGGAGGCAGCAGUGGGGAAUAUUGCACAAUGGGCGGAAGCCUGAUGCAGCGACGCCGCGUGGGGGAUGACGGCCUUCGGGUUGUAAACUCCUUUCGACCGCGAGGAAGCCACCUGGUUGGAAGGGUGGUGACGGUAGUGGUAGAAGAAGCACCGGCUAACUACGUG
Molecule: ribosomal RNA, 494 nt
Filed under: uncultured bacterium
Lineage: Bacteria
Description: partial 16S ribosomal RNA
Rfam family: Bacterial small subunit ribosomal RNA
Source: RNAcentral